AAGUCGAACGAAGCCUUCGGGCUUAGUGGCGCACGGGUGCGUAACGCGUGGGAAUCUGCCCUCUGGUACGGAAUAACUCAGGGAAACUUGAGCUAAUACCGUAUAAUGACUUCGGUCCAAAGAUUUAUCGCCUGAGGAUGAGCCCGCGUAGGAUUAGCUUGUUGGUGAGGUAAAAGCUCACCAAGGCGACGAUCCUUAGCUGGUCUGAGAGGAUGAUCAGCCACACUGGGACUGAGACACGGCCCAGACUCCUACGGGAGGCAGCAGUGGGGAAUAUUGGACAAUGGGCGAAAGCCUGAUCCAGCAAUGCCGCGUGAGUGAUGAAGGCCUUAGGGUUGUAAAGCUCUUUUACCCGGGAUGAUAAUGACAGUACCGGGAGAAUAAGCCCCGGCUAACUCCGUGCCANCAGCCGCGGUAAUACGGAGGGGGCUAGCGUUGUUCGGAAUUACUGGGCGUAAAGCGCACGUAGGCGGCUUUGUAAGUUANAGGUGAAAGCCCGGGGCUCAACUCCNGAAUUGCCUUUAA
This 525-nucleotide ribosomal RNA is filed under the name Sphingomonas sp. URHD0070. Its description in RNAcentral is "bacterial SSU rRNA". It matches the Rfam family "Bacterial small subunit ribosomal RNA", at positions 59 to 630 of the family's 1533-position model. Lineage: Bacteria; Pseudomonadati; Pseudomonadota; Alphaproteobacteria; Sphingomonadales; Sphingomonadaceae. The record is from RNAcentral.